GAGUGGUGUUUGGUUUGAUACGGGUGGUUGGCUCCCUGCUUGAGCAGGCACGACCAUGCGUUCAUUCCUUUUCAGUUGUGCGUCAAUGCUUGUAUAGCCUUGAUCGCAUAUGCGGGUUUUCUGUGCUGCAUACCUGGUCAAUGGCAUCGUCUUGAUCAAAUAGUCCCUUUUUCGUUUGGCGUUUCAGUUGUGACGCUGGAUGAACCAUGUAGCACCUUCUUUGAUCCAUCUUGUCGAUGAGCAUACUUCGACUGCCUGGCACAUUGAGGGUGGCUCGGUCUCUUGAAUAUGGAAGCUAAAGUGGGCAUGGUUCGUAAGAUCCUCUUAUUGCCCUCAUUUGUCGCUACUCUUAAACGACCGUCUCUCACGUAUGGCACGUCCCAGCGUGUUUGGCUCCGUCGAAGAGGAAUGCUACCUGGUUGAUCCUGCCAGUAGUCAUAU
This 441-nucleotide unclassified non-coding RNA is filed under the name Zyrphelis decumbens. RNAcentral describes it as "partial external transcribed spacer". Lineage: Eukaryota; Viridiplantae; Streptophyta; Magnoliopsida; Asterales; Asteraceae. The record is from RNAcentral.